This is a long non-coding RNA of Dreissena polymorpha, 350 nucleotides long. RefSeq lists it as uncharacterized. NCBI's taxonomy places the organism in Eukaryota, Metazoa, Mollusca, Bivalvia, Myida, Dreissenidae. The transcript has 2 exons. The record is from RefSeq and is a predicted model, not a curated record.
AUACCAACGGUGCUACAGUUGCAUGCCGGAUGCUCGAACUACGAACCGCUAAUGCUCGUGUGAUAGACCCACCAGCGGGGCCCUCCGGAAUGCCGAUUUGGUUGGAUGACGUCGUAUGUAAAGGAAAUGAACACACGCUGUUAGAAUGUGAUCAUAGGCACAUUGGUUAUCAUAACUGCAUUCACACCGGGGACGUCGGUUUGGUUUGUGCAUAACUCGUAUGCAAAAUAAUAAAAGCACACGUGCGACUAUGCCAUGGAUAAUAAAGGAUGUUGUUUAUUGUAUGAAACCUAUUUAUUUUGUAAAUGUACCUUUUUAAUGUUAGACGUUUAUUAAAAAUAUAACAUAUU